RNAcentral lists this ribosomal RNA (260 nucleotides) under uncultured bacterium. RNAcentral's name for it is "partial 16S ribosomal RNA". It matches the Rfam family "Bacterial small subunit ribosomal RNA", at positions 793 to 1055 of the family's 1533-position model. The record is from RNAcentral.
GUCCGCACGGUAAACGAUGGAUGCCCGCUGUUGGCCUGAAUAGGUCAGCGGCCAAGCGAAAGCAUUAAGCAUCCCACCUGGGGAGUACGCCGGCAACGGUGAAACUCAAAAGGAAUUGACGGGGGCCCGCACAAGCGGAGGAACAUGUGGUUUAAUUCGAUGAUACGCGAGGAACCUUACCCGGGCUUGAAUUGCAGAGGAAGGAUUUGGAGACAAUGACGCCCUUCGGGGUCUCUGUGAAGGUGCUGCAUGGUUGUCGU